Molecule: long non-coding RNA, 237 nt
Filed under: Hordeum vulgare
Lineage: Eukaryota; Viridiplantae; Streptophyta; Magnoliopsida; Poales; Poaceae
Description: long non-coding RNA (HVUL_LNC016228)
Source: RNAcentral
UCCCUUGUGCAGUUUGUUGUGUGGUUUUAGAUAAAUUUUUGUUUUCGAUGUUAUCUUUCAACAUUGUUUGGGAGAAGCCAACGAGGUCGCACAUACUUUAGCAAAAUUUUCCUUUAAUUCUAGUUCCUCUUGUGUUUGGGAUUCCACCCCUCACUUUAUUUCAUCAAUGCUUCUAAGCGAUCUCUCCAUUAUUUGAUGAAUAAAGUCUUUUGAUAAAAAAAAUUAGAUAAAAGUAAU